GGGAAUUUCACUUUCCAAACUAUCGCAAUUGGGAACGGAAAAUGAUUUUUGACAAUUCUAAACACCAGAGGGAUCCGAUCAAACAAAGGGUGAUUCGGCAAGAGGAGUUAAAUCGGCAAUUCAAAGGUGGUAGAGGAUGCGACGAUAACUACGGUGCGGUGGCCAAGAAAUGAAAGAAAAAAGAAGGAAAAGGAAAAGAAAAGAAAAGAGAGGAGAAGGGAAGAACGAGGCAAUGAAGAGGAGAAGAGGAGGCGGCUAGGGAAAACAAAUGAGAGAAAAUAGAGAACUAGGGUUAGGGGUGACACAAAACAAAGGAAAAUGAAAAAGAGGGGGUAGCCAAGCAAAAUACCUAGGGUUUUGCAGCAUUAAGGUUUCUACACUAGAAAAUGUGGCACUAAG
Molecule: long non-coding RNA, 399 nt
Filed under: Gossypium raimondii (Peruvian cotton)
Lineage: Eukaryota; Viridiplantae; Streptophyta; Magnoliopsida; Malvales; Malvaceae
Description: long non-coding RNA (GRAI_LNC004385)
Source: RNAcentral